This 228-nucleotide long non-coding RNA is filed under the name Coffea arabica (coffee). RNAcentral describes it as "long non-coding RNA (CARA_LNC000592)". Lineage: Eukaryota; Viridiplantae; Streptophyta; Magnoliopsida; Gentianales; Rubiaceae. The record is from RNAcentral.
AACCAGAAAACGUGUGAAUACCAAUGGAUAAAAGAAAUCAAUAAAAUUAAUUCGAUCUCACAAAUAUUUGGAACCGCGUCUUCAAAUUAUCCUUUGACUAGAAAAAGGAGUUAGUUCAUCUUCAUGGAGGAAAUCCCACGCAAAAUUGCAGAAGUAAUUAUCCCAAAAACCAAGCUAUGUUCCCCGUCGUCCCUCUGGAAGGGACGAAAAAGAGGAAAAGAAAAAUCA